This 1242-nucleotide long non-coding RNA is filed under the name Mytilus galloprovincialis (Mediterranean mussel). Lineage: Eukaryota; Metazoa; Mollusca; Bivalvia; Mytilida; Mytilidae. The record is from RNAcentral.
GUCCUUGUGGUUGAAUUAUUGAUAUUUUUAGGUCUGACCUUUAACCUCAAUUUCACAAAAUUGUGACCACUCUGGAUUUUUACGACCCAAUUUUUCUUAUUUUAUAUGUUUUCCUCUUUCCGUCGUUAUAUAAUUUAGGUGUGUGUUCUUCCGGACCAUUAAAGUUUUAAAAAAUGACCUGUGGUUGCAGUACUACUAGUGCGGACAAUUUUUAUUAUAUUUUCGGUAAGGGUUGGGUUGGGUGUCCGACCCCGACUUUGGUCAUAUCUUUUGAAAAUAAAAUAAGCCAAAUAACAACCUUGAUUUUUUUCUCCAGUAGACAUCAGCUAGCCUACCCAGCUCCCCUUUACACAUUGUGCGGACAAAUGUAUGGCCGUUGAAAUGUGUUUUAUAAUCUUUUCGGUAAUGGCAGGGUAGGGUGGUUAGCUGAAGUCCACUUGAAAAAAAAGUGGCCUCCAAUGUGGUUUUAUGCAGAACAGUAACCCGCAAAUCUAUGGUAGUUUGCAAAAAAUAAAAGUAUUUUUUGUUAUAAUGUGAUAUGUAAUAUGUUGGCAAAUAAUGAAAGCUCGUAUCUUAAUUAAUAGACAUCGAAAUAAAGAGAAACCGUAUGAUAACCAAUACAAAUCUCCCAGAGACAAACUAACAUUGAUUAAGGCAACUAGUAUGAUGGUCUGAAUUCAUGGUUCUUAAUUUCUGUAUUCUUUGAUAUUUUAGGCCAUUUUUCUCUAUUCUUUAUACUUUUUGCCAAUUAUUCUCUUCUCUUUAUAUUUUACACCAUUAUUCUAGCUUUUUUAUUUAUUUCUUGGUCCAUUGUCUCUAUAAUUUAUAUUUUUUGUCAACUAUUCUCAAUAACAUAAUACCCCAACAACGCCCUCUAGUUCAGGUCACCAUAUAUGUAGCCUUCACAAAUAAGCAAAACAAAAACCCUAUAGGCUCCGAAUGCCAAAAUAAUUGAAUGCUUGUCCAGGUUUGAAUUGUGAAAUUGCGGAAAAUUGUUUUUUAAUCAAUCUAUCAAGCAAAACAUAUUAUCGUCCUCGAUGUUCACGGUACUGACAAUACUGGCAGAUGGACGUUGGUCAUCAAUUCUAAUAAUCUUAGAUCGACCUUUCUAAACUUAAAAGUAAAGUUCACGCACCCGGUUCCUGAUUGUUAUUAAAGACUUUUGAUCUGACAACCGCUGUGCAUGUAUACUUUAACGACUAGGCUAGUUUUCUUGUCAGUUUUAAAAAGUAAUUACCUCCC